AUUGAACGCUGGCGGCGUGCCUAACACAUGCAAGUCGAGCGGUAACAGGUGUAGCAAUACAUGCUGACGAGCGGCGAACGGGUGAGUAAUGCUUCGGAAUCUACCCAAUGGUGGGGAAUAACCAGCCGAAAGGUUGGCUAAUACCGCAUACGUCCCACGGGAGAAAGCAGGGGAUCGCAAGACCUUGCGCCAAUGGAUGAGCCGAAGUCGGAUUAGCUAGUUGGAGGGUAACGGCCUACCAAGGCGACGAUCCGUAGCUGGUCUGAGAGGACGACCAGCCACACUGGGACUGAGACACGGCCCAGACUCCUACGGGAGGCAGCAGUGGGGAAUAUUGGACAAUGGGGGAAACCCUGAUCCAGCGACGCCGCGUGUGUGAAGAAGGCCUGCGGGUUGUAAAGCACUUUU
Molecule: ribosomal RNA, 408 nt
Filed under: uncultured bacterium
Lineage: Bacteria
Description: bacterial SSU rRNA
Rfam family: Bacterial small subunit ribosomal RNA
Source: RNAcentral